Astyanax mexicanus (Mexican tetra) is the source of this 2762-nucleotide long non-coding RNA. RefSeq lists it as uncharacterized. NCBI's taxonomy places the organism in Eukaryota, Metazoa, Chordata, Actinopteri, Characiformes, Acestrorhamphidae. The transcript has 5 exons. The record is from RefSeq and is a predicted model, not a curated record.
CAAGAAAGACGUCCUUUUCUCCGGGAGCUGCAGGGGGACUGCAGGAGUCCAAAGCCUCGCUGUGUUUUAUGGGGAACAGUUAUUAAUAUUGGGUCAAAUAAUCCAGUAUUUCUUCACUCUGGUGCUGAAGGUCCGCUGCGCUGCUUUUUACUGUGUUUCCCCUUUACUCUGUUUUUAUUUAAAGCCCUCAGUCUUAAAACAGCGGCACUAGCGGGCCUCCAGCGGGCCUUCAGCACCGAUAGUGAUUAUUACCCUGCCGGAUUAGAUUAGAGCAGCGCGGCGGAGCUCUGUAAGUCCCGGUGAGUAAUUUAGUUAGCUGACUGUUUCAGCUCUCGGUGAAGCGCGGUCUUAUUAUGAUACUUAAACGGCGCUGGGUGUUUGUUUUGUUUCUGAACGAGCAGGUGACGCUGCAACUGGAUUUUAUAAAGAUAUGAGAAAAGAAUGCUUUCGUCGUGGAUUUAACAUGAAAAGGCCCAGUUCCAAAAGACACAACAUCCUCAGUGUCCUGGAGCUCCAGCUGAAGCACUGGCCACUCCACCUUCUCCAUCCCCACCCAAAAGAGGUACUUCUAAGGCAGCUAGUUGAAGGCGUGAUUGAGGUCCAUGCCAGAGGGGUUCUGCACUGUGACAUCAAGCCAUAGAACAUCCUGGUUCAGAUGUACAGUUAGGAACCACGCCUUCAUCUUCUGUUCUUCUGGACCUUCCUCAUGAGUGGUUUACCCAUGAGGCCAAAUCCUCCACAGUGUUGCAGAUAGGAAUCAUCCUGCUGUGUGUGAGAGGUGACCCUUCAACACCAGCACGGAGAUCACCUCAAAGAAGUCUCAGAUCAUCUCUCCACCAUCUGCUCUAUGACCCCUGGCUAAGUAUACACCACGACACAGCCACCACAUCAGGCACACCUCAGUCAGGUACCAUAUAAAACAAUAAUAAUGAUAAUUUUAAAAAAUCUAUAUUUUCAAUCUCUAGUUUAGAGAGUUCUCUAGUAGAGCUGGGCGAUUAAUCGAUUUUAUCGAUAAAUUCGAAUUUAUAGUUAAGGACAAUGUGUUUUUAUGAAAAUCGAUUUUCUCUGAGUUUUCUUUUUCACCACAGACGCUCCUCUGUGGGCACAGAGUGAGCUCAGCUAGCUCCCUCCAUACCUCCCUCCCUCCAGCGCGAGCACCCCCUGCCCCUCACUCCCUCCCUCCCUCCCUUGCACGCACAAACACACACGCACACACACACACACAUACACAAAACACAUAACACAUGACGGCGGAGCUUAAGAGCAACUAGCUCCGUGAUCUGGAGUUGGUUCGGUUUUGCGGCAUCUUCCAACCGUGUACCAGGUUUUGUAUGCACUACAAGUUAAGAUGUUUUGCAUAUUCAUGAGAAAAGAUCUCAUUUUAUAGAACACUGGCACUUAUUUAAAAGCUUUGUUUUGCAAUUCUAGCCCAAUAGGGAAAAGUAUUUACUUAAGAGCAUAUAAAUUGUACUUGUUUUCUAUUGUCUACUUUGUAAGUUUUAUCAAAAAAGGGCACCAUUUUAUUUAUUUCUAUUUGUUUUUAAGGGUGUGUUUAUUUAUUUAUUUAUUUUUUAAGUUUGAGGGUGCAUUGUGUCAGUACCUAAACUAUGUUGGAGAAAGCUUUCUAAAAGUCACUAGAUGUUUACACUAGACUCACUAGACUCACUGUUUACAAUAGUUUUUUUUGCUUGUUUCUGGUUGCACUUUAACCACAAAUGGAACAUUUUAAGUGAAAACAAAUUAAAUAAGAACUAGUUUUUAACCAUUUCUUUAUCAUCUUUAGUUUGAUUUUUAGUAGGGGGAAAAAAUCUAUUUAAAUCGAAAAUUGGAUUUAAUUUCGGCCAUAUCGCCCAGCUCUAUACUCUAGUUUAGAGGUUUUUUUAUAAAACACACCUAAGGAAAAUAGCAGGUAUUAAUAAAGCUAUUGAUUCCAUACUUUUAAAAAGGUAAUGAUUUUCUUUAACUAUAUAAAUGUUUUAAUCGUUUUGUGUAUUGUAUGCUUUUAAUUGCUUCCUGUUUUGUAUUUGUGUUCAUGUACUUAAGGCUUUAAUCCUUUUAUCUUGAUAUUGUUUAUCUUUUGAUGUUUAUUAAUUACUUAACUGUAUUUAUCUUUAUGUAGUAUACUGUUAGUGUUUUAAUCCAUACACUUUUUGUAUAUAUUUCUUUUAUUGCUUAGUUACUUGCUUUAUUAAUGAUUAUUGUAUUGGUGUUUUAGUCUUAUUUUGGGCUAAAAAACAUUUAAACAUUUGUAUUUUAGUGCUUUAAUAAAUUAAUAUUGUACUUACCUUUUACUAUUUUACUAUUAAUCUUUCUGUACUUAAUUAUACAUUAUUUUUUAUUUAUUUUUUUUAUAAAAUUAAAGGCGGGUUUAUUAAUUGUAUGUCUUUAUACGGGAUUUUAUAUUUGCAUUGUAUAUAUUUUUGUUUCAUUUAAUGUUUAUGCUCUUUGUCUUUUUCAGAUUUUUACAUUUUAAUUUGUGUAUUGACCCAAGGAGUAUGGGUUCCUCUCAAGGUUUCUAUCUCUCUUUGAGAGAAUUUUCUUUGCCGCUGUCUCCUUUGUGCUUACUCAAAAGAGGUUUGGACACUUUUUUUUUUUUUUUUUUUAACUGUUCUUAAUUUUGUUUGUUUCUUAACUUUGUCAAUAAAUGUUUUUUUAUUGCUAUCACUUUUGUCUGUUUAUUUGAUCACACUAUCGCUAAGUUUCUUGAAAUGUGUUUAUGGAAAAAAAAUAAUUUUAAUAUUUUAUUAAAUGUGGAUUUGAUG